UCAAGUGUAGUAUCUGUUCUUAU
RNAcentral lists this non-coding RNA (23 nucleotides) under Xenopus tropicalis (tropical clawed frog). Lineage: Eukaryota; Metazoa; Chordata; Amphibia; Anura; Pipidae. The record is from RNAcentral. RNAcentral also lists the same sequence under 2 other names.